This 138-nucleotide microRNA precursor is filed under the name Prunus dulcis (almond). RNAcentral's name for it is "sRNA ncRNA". Lineage: Eukaryota; Viridiplantae; Streptophyta; Magnoliopsida; Rosales; Rosaceae. The record is from RNAcentral.
AAGAAGAAAGAUGAGAGGGGAGGAUGAGAGGGAGGAGUAACAAAAGUGAAAACAAAAACUAAACACUCAAAUCUAUUUCAAAUUGUUUUCACUUUUGUUACUCAUCUCUUCUAUCCUCCCCUAUGAUCCUCUCUUUCA